This 435-nucleotide ribosomal RNA is filed under the name uncultured Pseudomonas sp. Its description in RNAcentral is "bacterial SSU rRNA". It matches the Rfam family "Bacterial small subunit ribosomal RNA", at positions 948 to 1382 of the family's 1533-position model. Lineage: Bacteria; Pseudomonadati; Pseudomonadota; Gammaproteobacteria; Pseudomonadales; Pseudomonadaceae. The record is from RNAcentral.
AAUUCGAAGCAACGCGAAGAACCUUACCAGGCCUUGACAUGCAGAGAACUUUCCAGAGAUGGAUUGGUGCCUUCGGGAACUCUGACACAGGUGCUGCAUGGCUGUCGUCAGCUCCGUGUCGUGAGAUGUUGGGUUAAGUCCCGUAACGAGCGCAACCCUUGUCCUUAGUUACCAGCACGUUAUGGUGGGCACUCUAAGGAGACUGCCGGUGACAACCGGAGGAAGGUGGGGAUGACGUCAAGUCAUCAUGGCCCUUACGGCCUGGGCUACACACGUGCUACAAUGGUCGGUACAAAGGGUUGCCAAGCCGCGAGGUGGAGCUAAUCCCAUAAAACCGAUCGUAGUCCGGAUCGCAGUCUGCAACUCGACUGCGUGAAGUCGGAAUCGCUAGUAAUCGUGAAUCAGAAUGUCACGGUGAAUACGUUCCCGGGCCUU